GUUGUAGUCCAGCUGCAUUCACCAAUGCACUUCAGUGUGGUUGCACAGGAGCGGAGAGGUGGAAGCGAGUAGCUGGGAGCAGUGAGACACCAAGGCAGUUCCUGAUGGUGGCAAGUGCUGGCUUAAAGCAUUCAUGAAAUUACAGCCUGGGGGCAGAGUGCCAGGCCUGCCCGGGGUCCCACAUCUCCCACUCUGAUGAUGGGGGGAACGGCAUACAUGUGGGGGAAAGGGAGACACCAAAGCUUUUGUUGUUCCAGUUACACACUGCCUCCACAUAGAUGUGCAGGUCUGCAUGUGUCCGUGCCCAUCCCCUGCCCUGUGUCAAGUGGAAAGGAUGUGAAAGAAACCCCAGCGUGGUUGUACCUUCACCUCCAGUACAUGGAAAAACAAACACAGCCAUUCUCAUGUUUGUUGAUUUAGUGCAGGGUGCUCCUUCCAUUACAAAACCAUUUCCCUGCAGGCAACAGGCUAAAACCUAUUUGCUUAUUAUUCUGCAAAAGAAAAUGAGGGUUUCAGGAUGGAUGCAGUCUUCAAGUGUCUCUUCUGUUGAUAGAGAUUGAAAGGAGAGAGCCCUCCCAGCCACCUCUCAGCAAAUGUGCUGUGCUUCCUUGUUUUGCAUAACUUUUCUUGUUUUCUAGCUCAGAAACACAUGCCACAUGUAUCUCUCUUUCUCCUUGAAAUACAAAUCGCAGUAUGGGAGCGCUUUGUGCUUGGAAGUUAAUCAUCUGCUUCAUCACAGGUAUUUAUAUAGAGAUGGCCCUGACCACUGAAAGCUGCAUCCAGAGCCAGAAUUCGCAGACCCCUCCCUCACCCCCGCAUCUAUAAUUUUCAGAGCCAAAACCCCAGACAUGAACACUUCUGACCAAGUGGGAGGUUCCCUCCUGCGCUCAGGUUGAUGGCUGCCCCAGCCUCAUUUAGGACAGUGUAAACACCAAGCUGACUUUUUGAACUGGCACAGCAAAGUUGGAGGCUGGGCGUGAGAUACAUCCUUGUUCGAAGCGAACACAUAAGAAACACAAGCCACUCCUAGCCUGUUUUUAUUUAUGAGGUGCAACCAGCAGCAGUUCCUGUUGCUGACUGUGACAAGUCUGGAUGAAAACUGAAAGAAGAGAGGCAAAGUUUAUCUAGAGCUGGCACCAGUUUUGGUACUCCGCUGAAUUGGCUAGUUCUACCGAGUCCAGAGCUAUUUGUUUGUGCCAACACCAACACCACCCCCAAAAUAAUCAAACUACUCUCAACACCUUUUUUUUGUCAGUUAAAAUCACCUCUCCACCAGCUGAUCUUUUAGAUGGCAGCUCUUCUGGCUGGUCUUUUAGGUGGCUGGUACUUUACCCUCCUCCCAAAUCCAAACCAACUGCAUUAAAAAUUUGCAUUGCUGGGGGGAGGCUACCCCAGACAAUGUCAAAGGAAAAGCAGAUCAAAAAUAGCUGCUAGUAUUGGAUACAUGGGCUGUCCUUUCAGCACAAGAAAAGCUCAGAAGAAUUCAAUCAAUCUGUUGUUGAACGGAGUCUGUGGUGGGCGACAGCUGCACGGUCCUUUGCCCUUUCCCAGCGUUUCGUAUCCGUAGCGGCAGUGAGUUCGUGGACUUGCACCUUGCUGGCCCAGCACUGACCACGUCUCAGCUCUGUGGUGCCAGGACCCCUUCCCUCUGGCUGCUCUCGGGAGAGGCAGCAGCGCACAGCACGAGCGCUUCUGUAGCACAGCACAGCCGAAGUCUGCCACAGCCAGAAACCUCUCUCCGCAGCUCUCCUGUGUGAGGUGCUUCAGACAAGCGUGGAAAUGCCUUGCAGGGCACUGGCGGUGGCCAGCCUGCUUCUAAGGGCACACACUACAGCCAGGCAGACAGAGGCAGGUGACUGCAAGUGUCACCAACAUCAAACACCCCUCAGAUGGAGGCCAGCGCUCAAAAUCCAUCCAGCUUUAAACUGGCCUGUCCAUGGUGCAAGGCAAGGCCCCUUAGCAGGAGGCCGGGGGCAGACACCUUACCCACAGCUGCUUACACAGUUGCGCGGUUUAAGAAACAAAAAUAAUCACGUAGUGAUUUUUUUCUGGCGGUAUUUUUGCUCCUAACUCGCACGGGCGUUUGAAAAGCACCUGUGCUCAUCUCUCUCCGUGAUGUCUUGCUUUCAUGUUAGUGCUUUGCCACCCAUGAGGGGGUGUGCCAGGGCAGGCAAGCCAUGCCGUGCCGGGGAACACGAGCGCCCUCACUUCUCACUGCUAGGGUGCAUGUGGGGCACCCCACGCUGACCCCCAACUGCACUCGCUCUGUCACCGAGAGGCAGAUGAGUUUGAUCCCCCACCGGGGCUCGGUGGGAGGUAAGUCCAACGUGUUUGACAGCGCCAGUACCUUGAGACCACCGCAGCAGGGGCUUCGCAGCGGUUUGGCUCCUGAGGCUGCAGCCUCUGGAUAACUUCCACCCCAAAUGUAUGUCACAUUUCCUUCCAGCAAAAGCAAAAUAUUUACACUAAGCCAAGGUCACCCGGCGGCCACUCUGCUAUCGCAAGCUGGAAGUGGCUGUGAUACUGUAAACCGAGGGGCACGAGGACAGAGGGGAUCAGCACGGGCCUCCAAAAUAAAUUAUACGGCUGGCUGGCAGCUGCUGCUGGGCUUGGUGGGCACCAGGGAGGUGGGUGCCGGGCAGGUGCUCUCAUGGCAGGACGAGGAAGGGCUGGCAGCUGCCCAGCCAGGCCAGGAGCUCAGGGAGAGCAUUGGGAUGGUGAUGGUGGAGAAGAGCUGGUGCCGGGGUUGAGGGAAGGCAGAUCUGCAGAGCACAGACAGACACGUCUGGCAUCCCCACCAGCCACCCUUCCCCACACAGCCCCAGCGUGGUCGGUAGCUGAGGCUAUGGCCACACCAACUGAACUUCUUUACCUCCCUUCAAAGAGCUGUUGGAAAUACUCCUCCUGUUCUGCAGGAGUGUUUUGGACAGAGUUAAGCCAUCCUGGAAGUUGCUGGGCUAGACUUGCCCUAUGAAAAUACACUGAAUUCACUGAUUUAAACCUAUAAGCUUGAACUACAGGACUCACAGCCCCUGUAUUCCCAGACACCCAAGAUAACGCAUGGCAAUUUCCCUUUGUAGUAGCUUGCAUACAAAAGAUCUUCCUGAGACAGAUCUUCCCACCUCCUCACACCCUGAAUCUCUCCUGUAUGCUGCCAAAACUUUCUUCUUUAUCCCACAUUGCACUGCUGAUCAGCACCCAAAACCUCUGCUGCAGGCUCCAACACAUGCCUAAGAGUUGCCAGGUAAAGUGGCUAGCAGCUCCUGGCCACCUACCCAUCAGGUGCCACCGACCUCUCCUCAGCUCCUGCUGUCCUGCUCCCUUCCACCCAUUUUGCUCAAAGUGGUUACCCACAGCUGGGUUUCACGUGUGACUAUGGCAUGUGUGACGAGGCAGGAAGCAAAAUGGUGCUCAUUUUAUAUGCCUUGAACCCAUGGCAGGGGCAUGAGACCGCUGAGCCUGCCAGCACCUGGGCUGCUUCAGAAAGCCUUCACUCACCUACUGAUGAACAUCAGCCUUGAGCCACAGUGGAGAUGGAGAUGGUUCCAUCGCCAGCCCCUCUGAUCAAAUGAGCCCAUAAGGAGCAGCAGGUGGAUUUGAAUUAUCUCACAACCUCUUCUUCUUCUGUUACACUGCUGCCACUCACCCAGCAAGGUUUGUGUGAAAGACUGUGGAGUAACCAAAAUAUUAACAGGACAUUCCAGUUAUUCUUGGCUGUCUAAGGCAGAGGUAACUGCACUUUUUGCAUCCAAUCAUUUUCCACUGGCACUUCCCAUAAUGAUUAUCACAGUGUCAGCAUCUGAGAUGUCAAUAUGGGGCCAAAGCUGAAGAGGGUGGCAUUUGACUACUCUCUACCACUUGGGAUAUAUGAUUUUCCCCAGCUUUGCAGAGUAGUUGCUCUAUGCUGAUUACGAAGCUAUUAGGUAUGCAAGGCAUAACUGUAGCAGAAGGGGAUUUCUGUGUGGGAGGAACAGUAUGAUUCAGAUUGUCUCAUCAGCCUUGUGAAACAAAAUGUCCAGUCAACAGAAUAUGCUUUUGCAAUGUAGCCACUCAUUUCUCUGCCUUUAUUUUGUACGCUUAGCCAUAACCCUGGUGCACCGGGACCUGGGACUCAGCCUAUGAAGCUACAGGAGGAUUGUUCAAGAACAGGGGAGUUUACGGAAGCACCAACAUGACCUAGUACUCUAAUAGUGUUUCCUCAUUGGGAGAGAUGUCCAGAGCAAGGUGGGGGAAGGAGGGAAUGAAAGCUCUCCUCGAGCACCUGAUUGCCACCUCUUGUAUCAGCUGGCAUGGGAAAGUGGUAACAGGAAUGCUCUCCCAGCUUUGGAGACUUGCCUGCUCACAACCAGCCCAGUAUCUGGAGCGCAGACACGUGGCUGAAUACUGCUCACAUAAGCACCUACUGCAUUGCACUUGUUGUUUAAAGGGGUUCACUAAUGCAGCUGGGGUAAGAAGUUGGCUGUUGCUGGAUGAUUAUUUUAGAGCAGCCUUCAGGAACAUACCACCCCACAUUUUCUGGUAUUGCAAAGGAGGAUGGUGAGGGUAGAGGAAAAGCACUGAUUUCAAUAACUUAGAAUAAGUUGAAGAUCUACCUGAGAGUGUUAAUCGCUAUCUUACAGGUAAAAGUACUUGGAACACUGCACUUAUGCAUGAAAAAUAAAAUUAUACCCUUUUCCUCCCCAGAAAAUUGAAAUUUAAGGUAAAACAAAAUAAUUCCUGAUGUUUUAAGGUAUGGAAGUUCACAGUGUAGGUAUCAGCGUGCCCUUUCCAAUGAUGCCCCUGAGAAAAAUCCAAGCCAUCCAUAACAGACAGUCCCACCUUAUCAGGGACCACAAAAAGCAGAAUGCCUUAGUCUCACCCACAUGGGGACUGGGCCAAAUCCAGCCGUCACUACGAGUAUAGAGCAAUUUGGUUUUAGCACAUUCCUGACAAGACAAAUGGCACACAUGAGGCAGAUGCUCUUCAGCCUUUUUCUUAAAGGCUGGCUCAGAAAGCCAGAAGUCUGUGUUGUGCCAGCCUUGUAUCUCAGUAUCAUUAAGCACAGAACUAGUAUGAGUCUUUUCAUACUUUCCUAGGCUUCACACAUUAUUUUCACAUCUGUUAGUAACAUUAAAAUUACACUAUUGUAGAUAAGUUUUUGUGAAGCCAGCUAAAAGGCUGUUGCAUGUUGUAUUUUCAGUACUUUAGCCACCUUCAAGAAAGGAGGGGGGAAGAGGGCAGGCUGCAACUUGCUUUCUUAAUAACAUGCAAACCUUUAAAGCUCAGGUAACAGUAAGUGUUUUGGCUCCAAGCUCCAGCUAUGAAGCAAAUAGGCCAAAGACUCUCCCUAGAACUGUACUGGCAAACUCCAAUAACAUCUGAAGUGCAGUGAUGAGGGGCAUCUGUCCCAGAAGAACCUGCUGGCUCUAAGACACCAAAAAUAAUGCUUUUUAAAUAACGAAUUUUAAGAUCGCCUUUCUCAAAACCAAUGUCAUCAGCAGGCAUCACCUCACCUCCUUCUGGAAGUGUCUUGGACCUGAGACUUACCCCAUUCCCUCUGUUACAGCAUACAGAUCGUACUUGAUGGUGGCUUUUGUGCUGUCCUCUCACGCAGACUGGCUCUGGGUGAAAGCCUGGCUCUAGGAUGAGCUGGGCCUUUGGCAAGUCUUCUGCCAACCCCUGCAGCCCUAGGGAGUGCUUUGUGGAUGACUGGACUGACCAGUUCUGGGGUCUGACCCAGUACGGUAUGAGAAAGCUCUUGUAAUGUCUUAGCAAAGGGACUGAACUCUUGCAAAAGACCACGAAAAUCAUAAUGCCCAAGGAAACAUAAGAACAUAUGAUACAUAAUAAACCCAAAAAAAACGUGUGAAGGUGUCAAGAGUUUUUCUACUGAGUUUCAUAAGGGAGUGCAACUAGGCCUUAUAUAGUCCUUGGCCAUGCUGCAAGUGGUUUAAUGGGGCAAUGUCCAGUAAAUAGAGAAAUUAAAUUAUGCCAGCAUGAAGGGGCUAUCCUCUUCCGAGCCUCUAAACUCUCCUCCGAAUAGCAGCGCUUCCUUUUUCCAGAUCUAGACAACACAAUGGUUCUGGUUCUUCCUAGAAAUGAAAAGGUCCAUUCUUCCUCGCCUUCCUCUUUCAGUGAAAACGUAUAUGAUGAGAAACCACACGCACACACACGUGGGUUGGCAUGAGCCCUAGUGUGGGCACAGAUGGCAUACCUGAAUGAAUGGACACACAGAGCUCUCUGUGUGGGUAAGAAUGUUUACCAUGUGUGGUGCUGGGAAGCACACACAUGAUUCCAGCUAAAACCCACAAGAUUGGCUGUAAGAUGAAAUGUAAAGAUCCCUUCUUAUAUGUCAGAGCCUUAAAGCUUUGUGCCACUGGGAUGGAGUCAGCUGGAGUUCAAAGAUGAGGCAGGCUGCAGGUAGGAAAUUAUUUCUAAAUCAAUUUGUGCAGUGGAUUGCCGCAAAUAUGAGUACUAUGCCUGCAGCAGACAAGGCCAUCAGACCUCAGUGAGUCUUUUUUUAUUUCAUUUUCCUAAUUAAUGCUUAUUUUACAGAGUGGUAGACAAAUCGUCAGCUUGCUGUAGUUGGGCAUGAGCCCCAUGUCCCUGUUUUGCUUGAGGCAAAAAUGUCUUCACUGCCAUUUCAGGUAGGCAGAUUCAGCCCUGGAGGUAUUUGGUGCCUUACGUCAAACUACAUACUGGCCACAGGGUUCAACAUGUUUUCUGUAGAAUCAGUUUCAGCAGAGCUCUGUUGUCUCAGUGCUGUCUGUUGCAGAAAUCACACAAAGAAGCUUGUGGGUCACUUCCCCGACGUUGAGAAUUAAAUGCAUGCCAGGUUAGGUGAGCUGCAUAUGAAAAGGAAAAUAAGGGCAUAUAGGGCAAAAGGAUAACAGAUUCUUAAACUUACCUCAUUGUUAAUAUUCUGCAGUUGUUUCAGGAGAAGUCAACAUAAGCUUUGCCACUGAUAUGAGUGAAACAUUAUUUUAGAACAUUUGUUUGAGAAAAAAAUGUGGUUUUGAAGACAUUAUCUGAAGAAAUUCAUUUAACAUCAGCAGAAUUACAUAAUAUUUUGUUUCGUGUGUGUUCCUUUCUCCUAUACUAUUCCCACUCAGGGACAAUAUAUUUUUGAUGGGCAAGUAGUCAUUCUUUCCACUUUUUCAUUAUCUGCAGUCCUCUUUAAGAUCUCCUAUUCUAUAUUUUUCAUCGGAUUACUAUCAUGGUAAUUUCUAGCUCAAGUAAAAUAAAAAAAUUUCCUCUCUUUUCUUUCCUUCUGGUCUUUAAGGCAUUCUAGAAAGCCCAGGUGCCCUGGUGGCUAGCUCCUUGCUCUUUCUCCCAAAAGGCCUUUCUUCAUUUAUUUGUUCUUAGUUUUGCCCAAGGAUUCUUCGCCUGCACUCCUGUGUGUAUAAGUUAAUAAUUCUUGGUUCUUCCCCAUCAUUUUGUCCCCUCUGCACCUGUGAUUUACACAAAGUUGGAAGGCUGCAGAUGGAGAUGAGAUCCUCCCCAACUUCCCCUUUGCCAGGCUUUGCUGCCUUUGAGGAUGUCACUGAUCUUUGAUGUGGGGAUGGGCUCUUGGAGUAAGGCUGAGAGGGAUGUUCUACAAACUUGACCUGGUCAGGAAAAUACAAUUCCCUCCAAGAAGUUUCUUUUUACAAGACUGUAAGCGUAGUUUUUGUCCAGGUUUCUUGCAGCUGGAUGGUUCAUGCACACUUAUAAAUUGUUGGUUAUAUAUAAAACCUUACUUUUUCUGAAGCUUGGGUGACAUUUAAUGUUUAACUCCCUUCCUGAACUCCUUAGCGGGAAAAGAAAAAAAACCCAACAACCCACAAAUCCAUGCCAGUUUUGGCACCUUUGCCCUUAUGAUUGACACCUUCCCUCCACUGCUGGGUUAAGACUGCUGCAAGUGGGAAUUCCUUCUUCUGAAUUAAUUAACUCUGUAUUGUUACUGCCUUUGAUCUACUGCCAUAGGAACAAGCGCUGUAAAACCUCUAUUUGUGUGCCUUUCUUACACAAAUAGCUCUGGACAGAAUAUUAAAGGAAUCAUUUAGAAGAUGGUGGGCAGAAAUACCCCCUCCCCAAAGUUGCCCUUGAGACUGCCGCUUAGUGUGGAAACUGCAUGGGAACAGUUACAGACCUCUAGUGGCUCUGUUUAUAUAACUCAUCUAGCUUCCUAACUGCUCACCAGCACAGUAUUUUGGAAAGCUGUAUAGAGAUUUCCCAUAUGGAUUACAAUACGGUGACAUUUCGUCGUCUCUGCAUUUCCCAUCCUGUUGUCUGUUCUAUUUUCUUCACCAUAACAUCUGUCCCACGUCGCUGAGAGAUUUCACUAUUGGAAGUCUGCUAUAAAUUAUGACAGGGAGUUAAAGGACUUCAGUGUUUGCUUUCUGCUUUUUUUUUUUUUUUUUUGAGGGACAUUGGGUUAGCCACCUCUUUAAAAUAAGCCUUCUUUUUUUAUUCUAUUUAUAUACUGAUGUUUUUAAAAGCUGUCUUUAGAAACUGAAAAAAAAGAAAAGAGUAUUCCUGUCCUUCCUGCUUGCACCCUUUCCCACUUAUCUUCCAUUGAAUUCCUAGAGAAACACAAACUUCUGGAAGUGCUUGCAGAAAAUAAAUCUUUAGCAAGCUCUGUCCCUAAUGGCCCGUGGGGUCUCCAGAUAAAAAGCAGUUGCUCACGUUCCUGUUCCCCGGUGUCUGAUGGAGACUGCAGCAGCUUUAGCACUCCUAGUGCCAGCCUGCAUCGCUGGUGCCAAGGCUGUGGGUUGGACUGGCCGCUGGUUCCCACCAAAAUGGAAGCAAGUAGUCUUGAAUCAUACAGAGUAGAAGGGCCAGCUCUGCUUGGCUUUACAGGAGGCUGCGAUUAGCAUGCGAUCCUAGGAACAGUCAGAGCGACAGAUUUUCAGCAGGACAGACUGAUCAACGCUUUUAAGUUGAGUGUCACGUAUCAUCACCAUGUAAGGACCAGAGACACUUAAAUGUGAGAUAAAACACACAGGACUAUAUUCUCAUAAUCCAAGGAAGUCUCAGUCUUUGGUGACUUUACAUGCCACUGCAACCUUUUUCCUCCGAACCAGAAAGCAGCACAUAUAGCUCCUGCAGGACUGCUUUUGGCUCUCACUCACAAACGAGAGCAUUACAAACCACAAACGUGGAGCACUUGCAAUGCUUCACAAUGUCAGCCUUGCUUCCUCCAGCAGCCAGGAGAGAAUCAGAGAUUUAUAUGGCUGGAAGGGAUCUCAGAAGAUCACUUAGUCCAGACUCAUGUCCCAAGGCAGGGUUGUUAUACUUACGUCACUCUUGGCAAAUGCUUGUCUAACCUCUUCCUAAAUGCAGGAUGGCGAUUCCACACCCUCCUCAGAUACUUCUGUGUGUCAGUAUCCCUACUGCUUGCCGCCUUCUAACAUACAACCUCACUCUCCUUUUCUGUAAUUUAAGCUCAUUACUUGUCCCAUCCAUCAUGGGUAGGGAGAACAAUUUAUUCCCCUUUCCUUCCCAGCCACCUUUCACAUAUUUGACAGCGGUAACCUUAUCUUCCCCAGCCUUCUCUAGACUACAGAAAGUCAGUCUGUUCAUUCUUCCCUCCUAGCUCUGAUUUUCAAGACCUCUGAUUAUCCCCCAGCUGUCCUCUGGACAUAGCAUAGCUUAGCAUAGCAUAGCACAGCACCCAUGGCUGGACGUCAUGCUCCAACUGCAGCUUCACAGAGAACUCGGCAGAAGGAUUUUUUUGUAGGGUACGUGCCUAUGCACACAUCCUAGUAGGGCAUUUGCCCUUUUUGCAUUAGCAUUAACUCAUAUUUGGAUUGCGACCUGGAACAUUUCUCAGAUCUUUUUACAUAUGCUUGUUACUUGGGCAAAAAUUCACCACCCUAUAUAAAGAGAAUUAAUUAUUCCUGGGGAUGCCCAUGUAUAGAAACUGAGAACUGUCCUUACUGAAAUUAAUCCUGGUUUUAAGACCAUUUGUCUAAACAUUUUUUAACUGUAGCUUUAUAUUUCAGUAUACCCAUAGUCCCCUUCCAGCUUUGUGGUAGCCAAGAAUAUGAUAUUCUCUAUUCCAUUGUCCAAGCUGUUCAUAAUCCCCUGAAAUCAGACUGACCCAGUAUAGAUGCCCAAGCAGCUCUUCCUGAUCUACCUUUCCCCUUUUAAAAGUACAGCUAACUAGUCGCUCUGUGCAGUUUUCCAAUCAAUAUUACAUCAUCUUAGACCAGCUCCAUCUUCCACAGGUUCCCUUAAUUUGCUUAGAAGUAUCAUGUUACAUGGUGACGAAAUCCUCACCACUGUCAAAAUAUAGGACUACUAUUGCUGCUCCCUUAUCAACGAGUGUUUUUUACUCUGUCAUGAAAGGAAAUUUGACCCAUUUUACACAAUUUGUUUUUGGCAAAUUUAUGUUGGCCAUUAUUCAUCUCUUUGUUUUGUUUUAGGUGCUUACCAAAGUUUGAUUGUUUGUUCCAGUAUUUUUCCGGGAAUUGAAGUUAAACUGAACAAUAUGUAAUCCCUGCCUCCUCCUUUUAUUCCCUUUUAAAGACAGGAACUACGUCUGCACUUUUCUAGGCUUCCAAGUAACCAUCUCUGGGCUCUGUAACGUCCCAGACGCUAGGCGGGAUUACACCUAGAGCUUUCGCAGUUAAAUAACCAGCUGGAGCAAUUACCCUAAGAUGAAAUACAUCUGGCCCAACCGACUUGAACACUAUCUGAAGGAUCUUCUGACCUAGUCUUUGUUCUAGUUUUGUGAUCUCACCUGCCUCUGUCAUUGACAUUGACUGCAAUAUUUGUCUGAAGCGAUAACAAAUGCAAGAAAGGCACGAAACGCCCUGGGACUCUAGCCAUGAACUGUCCAUAGCUUGCUUCCCCACUGGAAAGCACGUUUUCAGUUGCCUGGGUCUUCCUCUUGCUGCUAAAAUAGUGAUGAAAAAACUACUUUACACUUUAAAAUCCCUUGCUAAUUGGACCCCAUUUCGCUGCCUGACCUUUGUGAUUUUGUCCUCACAUACCUAGCCCAGCUUCUGCAGGCUUUUUUCCCUUUGGCUGAGAUCAAAGAAAAGCUGACUAUUUCUUCAAGUUCAUCUACUGGUACUGUCUGGUUUUUGGAUAGCUGAUGCAUGUUGCUGUUCACUCCAAGGUGCUUUCCACAUCAUUAAAACUUCUCACUUGCCCAAGGUCCAAAAUGACAUGCCUUUAAUUACUAAGUGGCUUCAAUGGAAUCACUGCUCAUUUAUCUUGGUCUAGGAAAGAUCAGAAGCCUGACCUUUUUUUCCAUCUCUUACUGACUGCUAAGCUCCACCUGGGAACAUUCAGUCUUUGCUGGUCAGUUUUUGUUUAACCUCCUGUCCUUACUAAAAGUGAUGGGUGCAAAUCACAAAAUCUUCUCAUCUGGAUCUGAAUUUUACAUGGUCUUAAAUGCUAGAAAUGCUAGAAAUGUUUACAGCCAGAAGUAUUCUUCAAGUUCAUCUCAACUGCUUGUCAGAAAAACAUCUUUUUCUCAUUUGGGUACUUUUUUGUGCUGGCUUCCCGCUCAGCUGGCCUGCCAAGCUUGAAGUCAGAACAGACAAGGCUGACAGAGUGGGGAACAUAUUUUCGUUUUUAUACACAUGAAAAACUCAAAAUUCACUAGUAACGUAAUCACGCUGAACUCCUUCCUGCACAGAAACUCUAGCUUACCUUUUGCUGUCACAUAUUCUUCUUAUCAGUGAAGAUACUCAAAAGCUCGCAGCUUGAGGAAGCCGAGGCUGUAACAGCAAUACUGUAAAUACAGCAGUGUUACACUGCUAUAAUGGUGCUCUUUCAACAGAGCAGCAUAAGCAGCCAAAAGGGGAAGGAGGCCAGACAGCCUUUCUGUUGCCCAAGAGGAAGCAAAUUUCAGAUAGUGCUUCGGUUCCCUUUAGUUAUGAUUCACCAUAAAUGAACAGCUAAAACAUCAGUUGAUAGUAAGGCCAUGCAAGCAGGGACUUCCAGAAGUGGAGACUCAAAGGAAAAAGCAGAGAAAGCUGGCCCCUUGCCUAGCUGUGAGUCGCCUUCCUUCCCAUCCUUCUGCUUUUGUUUUUAGGGUUCCUGUGCAUUUUGCAGUGUCAGCCAGUUGUCCGAGAAGAGAAGACUGCCUUGCAUGGGUUUUAGUUAAGCCUGAGACCCCAGGCACCUCCUAGACCCUACACUGGGACAUGUUCACUACUGCUAACUGCUGUUAAACCAAAGCAGUGAUCUAGACCAUAAAGCAAAUAACAGCAUACCCUGCUGAUAAACUGUGGUAUAUGGAAACUUGCACAAUAUUUAUGCAUUGUUAAGGCUAACACUAGAAGGAGUAAACCAUAACGGCUGUGCUGGCCUUCUCUAACAGAGUUACCCAAACUUAGCACGACAAUUUUCCAUGGUAGAAAAAUUCUCUCUCCUUCUCAGCCUGGGCAAAUUGUGCCAAUAGCACAGUAGCCCCUUGUUCAGCCUUUUCAGAGGGAAACCCUCAGCAAAGAAAGGAUUGUCUUACAAUAGCCUGCAGAAGGAUGGGCUGAUACCUGGAAGAGAUUAAACCAGUAAAGCUGUACUCAGGCUGAGCUGCCGUGUGGAAAAUCCGUCUCUCUCUCUGUGCAGCAAGGGUCCCUGUGUGUUCCUAUAGCUGGAGGGGAGGGGAAACUACUAGAAGUAGGAGGAGAGAUUAAUAAAAACUCAUUUAAAGGCUGACCUUUUCUUUGGAAAUAGCUACCUUUAUCCCUUGCACUAGAACUGAGCAGUCCAUGUGCCUCACCUGCACAGCAAGAGAGGAAUUCUUGGCCAGAGAGAGGUGUUAAGGUGGGGAAAAGGACCUCCAGGCAAGGGAGGUUAAUAUCAUUAUUUACACUAAUGGAUUGCUUUAUAAAAAGGACUAUGAGGUGACUUUCAAAAAAACCAGCCUCCUUUAGGGCCCAUGGAAGAAAAGAUCAUGUGAAACCAGCAAGAAUCUGUGGAAAUUUUCCACAUAAGUCUGGCAGAGUUUUGCAGAGAAAAUGUGCCAUUUGCCACCGCUGCCCCCUCCCCAGCGCCCAGAGCUGUGCUGGCCAGCAGGACUGCAGUCACGCCACCCACUUCUGUCCCCAUGAGAAGAGAAGCCUCACACCAAAGUGCGUGCUCACCUCAUGACUCUUGUGAGCAAGAGGAUGUGUGGGGCAGGUGCUCGCUUCCGUUUUGUGAUCCAUCAUUCAUGCGACUCUCAAAACACAGCUCUGAUAAGUAAUCUGGCUAAUUUUCAGAUUAAAGGAAAGAAUGCACUGUCAAUCACCGCACUCUGCCACUGUCCUUGUUGCCAGCGGGGAAUUAAGCCCUACCCUGUUUCUUCUGCUGAACACAGACCUUCUGAGAAGCUUCCCUGUCAGCCUGCAGCCUCUUGCAUUCUCUAGCUCUUCAAGAUACCUGCACUCACUGGGACAUGCUGUGGUGGGAUACCUCUUCUCCUGAGGCAGCAAACUCUGGCCGCAGUCGGAGGAAAGGCACUUGCCAGAGAUCCCAAGGAAAGAACUGUGUGAGGUUUUGCUAGGCAGCGCUUUGUUUCGAUGCAUGAAUCUUUUUUAAUUAUAUGCUCGCUUUGGUUUUGCAAAGGCUGGUGCAGAUCAAAUAAAGUAAGCAAUACUGUUUCCAAGGCAA
Phalacrocorax carbo (great cormorant) is the source of this 13572-nucleotide non-coding RNA. The record is from RefSeq and is a predicted model, not a curated record. Lineage: Eukaryota; Metazoa; Chordata; Aves; Suliformes; Phalacrocoracidae.